GACGAACGCUGGCGGCGUGCCUAACACAUGCAAGUCGAGCGGGGACUUAUGGAAUGAAGCUUCGGCAGAAUGAAGUAAGUUCUAGCGGCGGACGGGUGAGUAACGCGUGAGCAACCUGCCUAUCACAGGGGAAUAACGCAUCGAAAGGUGUGCUAAUACCGCAUGAGACCACAGGACCGCAUGGUCAAGGGGUCAAAGAUUUAUCGCUGAUAGAUGGGCAUGCGUUCCAUUAGAUAGUUGGUGAGGUAACGGCUCACCAAGUCUACGAUGGAUAGGGGUUCUGAGAGGAAGGUCCCCCACACUGGUACUGAGACACGGACCAG
RNAcentral lists this ribosomal RNA (323 nucleotides) under uncultured bacterium. Its description in RNAcentral is "bacterial SSU rRNA". It matches the Rfam family "Bacterial small subunit ribosomal RNA", at positions 28 to 334 of the family's 1533-position model. The record is from RNAcentral.